ACCCGCUGAACUUAAGCAUAUCAAUAAGCGGAGGAAAAGAAACUAACAAGGAUUCCCCUAGUAACUGCGAGUGAAGCGGGAAAAGCUCAAAUUUAAAAUCUGGUGGCCUUUGGUCAUCCGAGUUGUAAUUUAGAGAAGCGUCUUCCGCGCUGAACCGUGCACAAGUCUCCUGGAAUGGAGCGUCAUAGAGGGUGAGAAUCCCGUCUUUGGCACGGAACAUCAGGGCUUCUGUGAUGCGCUCUCGACGAGUCGAGUUGUUUGGGAAUGCAGCUCAAAAUGGGUGGUGAACUCCAUCUAAAGCUAAAUAUUGGCGAGAGACCGAUAGCGAACAAGUACCGUGAGGGAAAGAUGAAAAGCACUUUGGAAAGAGAGUGAAACAGUACGUGAAAUUGUUGAAAGGGAAACGCUUGAAGUCAGUCGCGUCGACCGAGACUCAGCCUUGCCCUUGGCUUGGUGUACUUCUCGGCUGACGGGUCAGCAUCAAUUUUGAUCCUCGGAUAAUGGCAAGGGAAAGGUAGCACCUUUUUAGGUGUGUUAUAGUCCUUUGUCGCAUACGGGGGUUGGGAUUGA
Molecule: ribosomal RNA, 570 nt
Filed under: Russula violeipes
Lineage: Eukaryota; Fungi; Basidiomycota; Agaricomycetes; Russulales; Russulaceae
Description: eukaryotic LSU rRNA
Rfam family: Eukaryotic large subunit ribosomal RNA
Source: RNAcentral